Molecule: ribosomal RNA, 426 nt
Filed under: Triticum aestivum (bread wheat)
Lineage: Eukaryota; Viridiplantae; Streptophyta; Magnoliopsida; Poales; Poaceae
Description: partial small subunit ribosomal RNA
Source: RNAcentral
AUGAUCAUCUUAGCUUGGAACUGUCGAGGGUUGGGGUUGGACUCGGCAGUGGGCGAACUUCGGGACCUUAUUAGGUCAUACAACCCAGCGGUGGUGUUCUUAUUAGAAGCAAAGAAAAGAUCAGGGGCGAUGGAGAGGUUAAAAUGCAGCUUGGGCUUCAACCAUGGAGUAGAGGUGGACUGUAGGGGCAAAAGUGGUGGACUGGCACUCUGGUGGAGGGACCAUGUGGAAGUUAUGGUGCGGCCGUGGUGCCAGUACUACAUUAGCGCAAAGAUUGUAGAUGAUGGUGUCCCUUUCAGGUUCAGUGGAAUCUAUGGGGAGCCAUGUAUUGACAAAAGAACCAAAACCUGGGAGGUUAUCCGUUAUCUCAGGACACAAGACAAUCUACCAUGGCUAUGUGGGGUUGAUUUUAAUGAGGCCCUCUGA